GACGAACGCUGGCGGCGUGCUUAACACAUGCAAGUCGAACGGAAAGGCCCUGCUUUUGUGGGGUGCUCGAGUGGCGAACGGGUGAGUAACACGUGAGUAACCUGCCCUUGACUUUGGGAUAACUUCAGGAAACUGGGGCUAAUACCGGAUAGGAGCUCCUGCUGCAUGGUGGGGGUUGGAAAGUUUCGGCGGUUGGGGAUGGACUCGCGGCUUAUCAGCUUGUUGGUGGGGUAGUGGCUUACCAAGGCUUUGACGGGUAGCCGGCCUGAGAGGGUGACCGGCCACAUUGGGACUGAGAUACGGCCCAGACGCCUACGGGAGGCAGCAGUGGGGAAUAUUGCACAAUGGGCGGAAGCCUGAUGCAGCAACGCCGCGUGCGGGAGGACGGCCUUCGGGUUGUAAACCGCUUUCGCCUGUGACGAAGCGUGAGUGACGGGAAUGGGGAAAGAAGCACCGGCUAACUACGG
Molecule: ribosomal RNA, 467 nt
Filed under: uncultured bacterium
Lineage: Bacteria
Description: partial 16S ribosomal RNA
Rfam family: Bacterial small subunit ribosomal RNA
Source: RNAcentral